RNAcentral lists this ribosomal RNA (680 nucleotides) under uncultured cyanobacterium. Its description in RNAcentral is "bacterial SSU rRNA". It matches the Rfam family "Bacterial small subunit ribosomal RNA", at positions 37 to 760 of the family's 1533-position model. The record is from RNAcentral. Lineage: Bacteria; Bacillati; Cyanobacteriota.
UGGCGGCGUGCCUAACACAUGCAAGUCGAACGGGAAUCUUCGGAUUCUAGUGGCGGACGGGUGAGUAACGCGUAAGAAUCUAACUUCAGGACGGGGACAACAGUUGGAAACGACUGCUAAUACCCGAUGUGCCGCAAGGUGAAAACUAAUUGGCCUGAAGAAGAGCUUGCGUCUGAUUAGCUAGUUGGUGGGGUAAGAGCCUACCAAGGCGACGAUCAGUAGCUGGUCUGAGAGGAUGAGCAGCCACACUGGGACUGAGACACGGCCCAGACUCCUACGGGAGGCAGCAGUGGGGAAUUUUCCGCAAUGGGCGAAAGCCUGACGGAGCAACGCCGCGUGAGGGAGGAAGGUCUUUGGAUUGUAAACCUCUUUUCUCAAGGAAGAAGUUCUGACGGUACUUGAGGAAUCAGCCUCGGCUAACUCCGUGCCAGCAGCCGCGGUAAUACGGGGGAGGCAAGCGUUAUCCGGAAUUAUUGGGCGUAAAGCGUCCGCAGGUGGUCAGCCAAGUCUGCCGUCAAAUCAGGUUGCUUAACGACCUAAAGGCGGUGGAAACUGGCAGACUAGAGAGCAGUAGGGGUAGCAGGAAUUCCCAGUGUAGCGGUGAAAUGCGUAGAGAUUGGGAAGAACAUCGGUGGCGAAAGCGUGCUACUGGGCUGUAUCUGACACUCAGGGACGAAAGC